AGAAAAGUCNCNUUCGCCANNGGUGUUCCUCCAUAUNUUUACGCAUUUNNNCGCUACACANAGAAUUCCACUNUCCUCUUCUGCACUCAAGUCUCCCAGUUUCCAAUGACCCUCCACGGNUGAGCCGUGGGCUUUCACAUCAGACUUAAGAAACCACCUGCGCGCGCUUUACGCCCAAUAAUUCCGGAUAACGCUUGCCACCUACGUAUUACCGCGGCUGCUGGCACGUAGUUAGCCGUGGCUUUCUGGUUAGGUACCGUCAAGGUGCCAGCUUAUUCAACUAGCACUUGUUCUUCCCUAACAACAGAGUUUUACGACCCGAAAGCCUUCAUCACUCACGCGGCGUUGCUCCGUCAGACUUUCGUCCAUUGCGGAAGAUUCCCUACUGCUGCCUCCCGUAGGAGUCUGGGCCGUGUCUCAGUCCCAGUGUGGCCGAUCACCCUCUCAGGUCGGCUACGCAUCGUUGCCUUGGUGAGCCGUUACCUCACCAACUAGCUAAUGCGACGCGGGUCCAUCCAUAAGUGACAGCCGAAGCCGCCUUUCAAUUUCGAACCAUGCGGUUCAAAAUGUUAUCCGGUAUUAGCCCCGGUUUCCCGGAGUUAUCCCAGUCUUAUGGGCAGGUUACCCACGUGUUACUCACCCGUCCGCCGCUAACUUCAUAAGAGCAAGCUCUUAAUCCAUUCGCUCGANNNCANGUAUG
Molecule: ribosomal RNA, 700 nt
Filed under: Bacillus cereus
Lineage: Bacteria; Bacillati; Bacillota; Bacilli; Caryophanales; Bacillaceae
Description: partial 16S ribosomal RNA
Source: RNAcentral